AAGCUCGUAGUUGAAUUUCGGGAUCAGUUUGUUGGUCGUGCUUCGGUACGUACUGUCAUUACUGGUUUCUACCUUCUGAAGAACCUUGAUGUCAUUAAUUUGGUGUCUUGGGGAAUCAGGACUGUUACUUUGAAAAAAUUAGAGUGUUUAAAGCAAGCAUACGCUUGAAUACAUUAGCAUGGAAUAACGAAAUAGGACGUUUGAUUCUAUUUUGUUGGUUUCUAGGAUCGACGUAAUGAUUAAUAGGGAUAGUUGGG
RNAcentral lists this ribosomal RNA (257 nucleotides) under uncultured Glomeromycotina. RNAcentral describes it as "partial 18S ribosomal RNA". It matches the Rfam family "Eukaryotic small subunit ribosomal RNA", at positions 624 to 886 of the family's 1831-position model. The record is from RNAcentral. Lineage: Eukaryota; Fungi; Glomeromycota.